GCUGGGUGUGGUGGCACAUGUCUGUAAUCCCAGUGACUCAGGAGGCUGAGGCAGGAGUAUUACAAGUUCAAGGCCAGCCUCAGCAAUUUAGCAAGGCCCUAAGAAGCUUAGUGAGACCUUGUCUCAA
This 127-nucleotide small RNA is filed under the name Marmota monax (woodchuck). The record is from RNAcentral. Lineage: Eukaryota; Metazoa; Chordata; Mammalia; Rodentia; Sciuridae.